This 3214-nucleotide long non-coding RNA is filed under the name Paramuricea clavata. Lineage: Eukaryota; Metazoa; Cnidaria; Anthozoa; Malacalcyonacea; Plexauridae. The record is from RNAcentral.
GCGGUUUUUUGAAAAACAAACUACAUCACGUUUGUUUACUUGGUAAUUGCCUUCCUGCAAACCAAAAAUGAGCAAAAUCGAAACUUUGAGCGUGACCGGAUGAUGCUCGAUAUUAGUGGACCUUCGCUCUUAAAUCUGCGCUCAAAUUAUACUUGAAAUUUAGACAAUCAUGCAUGGAAAUAAUUAAUAUACGUAGACUUCUUAUAAAAAAGCAUACUAAUUAUUUAUUUAAUGAAUUUAUUGAGCAAUCUACAUAUGUACUAUAGCAGGUGCAAACUACAAAGGUGGGUACCUAACAAACGAAAGACAAAAACACACGUCACAAAUCACAAAUUAGCAGUUACACUCAAACGGAAAAGCACAAACGGGACACUAACAGUCCCAUGCGAGGUGCUCCCCGUAAUUAGUUUAGAUAUAGUUAAUUAAAUAUACACACACAUAUAUAUUACUUGUGGUAUUAAGUCCUAUGGCAAGGACAGUCACGAGUUAAUGACCACGUACAAGCCAUGUCUACGUCAUAAACAUUACUAAUUAAUGUAUAGUAUCUACGUGUAAGAUGGUGUUUAAACGAGUUUGGAUUACGGAAAAUGUCAGGUGAGACUUCUUGGCACACCGUGUUCCAAAUCUUUACAACACGAUUGUAGUAUGAAGACUGGAAAGUGUUAGUUUUACAGAGUUUACUUUGGAGGAUAUACUAUUGUUGGAGGCCAGUUGUUAAAGAUGUUGAUAUCCACUGCCAAAAUAGCCCCCGUCCCCCUAAACACAAUAGGGAGCUUAAGCAUGUAUGACGGAAACACGACGACGACGCAAAUUUUUUUUCCGUGGACAGUCGGACUCCUCAUUGAUAGUCGGACGCAUCAUUGACCCGCGCCCUUAAACAAAACAUUCAGCGGAUACUCUUCUUAUUAGAUGCGCCUUCACAGUGUGUCUUGCGCACGCAAUCGGUGAUUUCAAAAUGUUCUAUUGCUUGGUUGAGAUGUCUAAAUCUGAGCAGGACAGAUUGUGGCUUCAUAUCUUGUGUGGUGAUGACAUCUGACAUAUUUUAUUAAGUUAUAUUUGCCAUUCCCAUGUGCUUUUCUUUGCUUUGUUGACUCUUUUCGUUGCUUCUGUAACUCUUUAUAAGUUUCAUUGUUUUCGAUUCCAUAAUUUAAAAAAAACAUUGCCAUAUCUUCCGGAGCGAUUGCAGAAUACCCGUCCACUUUUAAGCUAUGCUUUUCAGACAUCAUGGAUACGAUGUAUUAAUACAUCUAUAUUUAUUCUCAAUAGAUUAAUAAAUAGAUUGAUAGAUUAAAAUCCCAUGGUGGUAAAGGUAGCUACGAAGCAUACAGUGACUUAACGUUAAUACAUUAAAUUGUCAUAUUAAAGGUAGCUCUAUAUUCUAGUGGAUACGCGGACAUGCAGUCAACUAGUUAUUUUGAGAACGAGGCAUACAGUUAGAUUGAGCAUUAGAUCAAAUUCUCAUGCUAUAGGUAGCUCUAUAUUUUAGUGGAUACGCGGAUACGCAGUCAAGUAGUUAUUUGGAGAUUAAGGUGACAUUUAGUUACCAUUAAUAAAUUAAAUUCUCAUGCUAUAGAGAGCUUAAAUGUGCUGUAAUAUGUAAAUAUGUUCCUCAUGCACAACCGGACAUUGGUGUUUGACAGAUUACUGAUUAAUUAGCGUCGCUGGGAGAAAAAAAAAUUAUAUUAUAAAGCAUACUAAGCAUAAUAUUAAACAUUAAAAGUCUUGCGCAUGAUAUUUCUUUAUAGUAUCAAUUCGUAAUAUUGUUUUAGUAAUUAGUUUGUUUAUAUUAGAACGAGGCAAUAAGAUCUGGUAUAUACGUAUCCAGGGAAAUAGUGGCCGGGCUACAUGACACGAUAUUACUAGUGGACGGGUAUUCUGCAAUACUCCUAUUUGGGGAAAGUGGUCCCAAUGGUCGCUUUGAAUCUUCCAGUAUUUCCUUGCACGCUAUUUAUCUUAUCCCAAUUCUCUUCAAUUAGGAUCAUAUAUAGUUUUAACUCGCAAUAACAGUUCUUGAGUAUUUUCGCAACCAGAAAAACAAGUUUGUAGAUUUACUAUGGCAUCGCGAAGCAAAUCGUUCAUCUUUCUACAAGUGGUCGAAGAAGAGCAACGUGGAGUGAUGGAUACAUGGUGCACCAGUGGGUUACGCACGGUACGAAGGGAUCCAUCGAUAACGCGCCAAGGACUGGACGCGAGGAUCAAUGAUGCGUCCGACUAUCAAUGAGGAGUCCGACUGUCUACGGAAAAAAAAAUUUGCGACGACGACGGCCAAAACAAAUUCCUUCAAAUAAAUGAUAGUAAAGAAAACUUGUCGUAUAAGAAGCUGAAAACACAUGCUUUAUGUUUGGGAAGAGUUCUACUGACCGAAUUUUAAGUUGCGCCUUGAAAUGCAGGCGUUGUAUAAAAGACGUGAAAGUCUGUGAUUUGCCGUUGUAAACAGAGCGACGACUACGCCUGAAACUCCCCUGGGACUUUAAUUAUUUAUUCACUUUUCAUUGACUCCUUGUAUUGGUUGCCGUCGUCGUCUUGUUGCCGUCCUACAUGCUUAAGCUCCCUAUUGUUGACCCCAGCCAACGGCGCGGAGCGCCGUUCCAGGCGUAAGGCCGGGACGAGGGUACUAAUUCCCCCCGGCUAUUUCCACCCGGGGGAACGAAAGCAUUAGCGAAGUCUAAAAAGUUCAUCAAUGAUCGCGGGUGUGGGUGACCAAUGGUGGGUGGUCAUCCUCACUGAUCUCAAAAAUAUGGCGGACUGUCAUGAAUAGCGAACACUGAUUGGUCAAAUUUAUAUUUUGCAUUAUAACGACUUCAUGACGACAGCGAAAUAGCAAACAUUUCUUGAUUUGAUGAUUUCUUGCAAAUAUAUUUCAUUUUUGCAAGAUUUUGUGAAUUUCAAAAGCUUUUUAAGAAAAAAGGGCGAAAGAAUCGGCUAAAAGAAGGGAGCAAAAGCCUCCUUAAUUUAAUAUAUUUACACUGGCUUUUAAAGGUAAGCCAAUCCUGAGAAAAUUAUAAAGCCAAUGGAUUUUCCCUCUUGUGUCUUGGAUUUCGUUUCUUUAUUUGAAUGACCAUCGCAGGGGGCAUAUUUGGCCAGUUCUUGUCAUCAGACUACAAUGCAAUAAGUAUAAAAUUAUGAAUAAGCACACGUGCAUGUAUACGUGCAUGCAUGCAAGGGCGGAUUGAGCGGUCCGACAUUUGGACGCGCCCGAGGCGCUUGAAGAAGA